CCUACGGGUGGCAGCAGUAGGGAAUAUUGCUCAAUGGGGGAAACCCUGAAGCAGCAACGCCGCGUGGAGGAUGAAGGUUUUAGGAUUGUAAACUCCUUUUGUGAGAGAAGAUAAUGACGGUAUCUCACGAAUAAGCACCGGCUAACUCCGUGCCAGCAGCCGCGGUAAUACGGAGGGUGCAAGCGUUACUCGGAAUCACUGGGCGUAAAGAGUGCGCAGGCGGGCUUGUAAGUCAGAUGUGAAAUCCUGUAGCUUAACUACAGAAUUGCAUUUGAAACUGUUAUUCUAGAGUAUGGGAGAGGUAGGUGGAAUUCUUGGUGUAGGGGUAAAAUGCGUAGAGAUCAAGAGGAAUACUCAUUGCGAAGGCGACCUGCUAGAACAUAACUGACGCUGAUGCGCGAAAGCGUGGGGAGCAAACAGGAUUAGAUACCCCAGUAGUC
RNAcentral lists this ribosomal RNA (440 nucleotides) under uncultured bacterium. Its description in RNAcentral is "partial 16S ribosomal RNA". It matches the Rfam family "Bacterial small subunit ribosomal RNA", at positions 338 to 795 of the family's 1533-position model. The record is from RNAcentral.